UGAGGCUGGUAUGUUUUUGAAAAUACGAAGUCUUUCGUAUUUACAAGUCAUUUUCGAUGUUGGAACUUUCAAAUCGACGAUCGGUUCCGUUAGACUUAAUCUAGAGUAUUUGAAAUAUCUAGAAAAUAAAUUUUGUGAUUUUUUGAUAUCGUUUGCCUAUUGAUCAAAGGGGCUUAAAAUCAACGGCUGAAAAUAAAAACCUUAUAAAAUGUGAUGAUAUGACAUUAAAAUUUUAGAUCAAAAAUGUUGAUCUUGUUUUAUAUAGUAUAAAAAAUUUUCAAUCAAAAUUUACGUGAUUUGAAUAUUUUUACACCGUUAUACUUGCAAAUGGCU
This 333-nucleotide long non-coding RNA is filed under the name Ananas comosus (pineapple). RNAcentral describes it as "long non-coding RNA (ACOM_LNC044685)". The record is from RNAcentral. Lineage: Eukaryota; Viridiplantae; Streptophyta; Magnoliopsida; Poales; Bromeliaceae.